GAUGAACGCUGGCGGCGUGCUUAACACAUGCAAGUCGAACGGAAAGGCUCCUGCUUGCAGGGGUACUCGAGUGGCGAACGGGUGAGUAACACGUGGGUGAUCUGCCCUGCACUUCGGGAUAAGCCUGGGAAACUGGGUCUAAUACCGGAUAGGACGAUGGUUUGGAUGCCAUUGUGGAAAGUUUUUCGGUGUGGGAUGAGCUCGCGGCCUAUCAGCUUGUUGGUGGGGUAAUGGCCUACCAAGGCGUCGACGGGUAGCCGGCCUGAGAGGGUGUACGGCCACAUUGGGACUGAGAUACGGCCCAGACUCCUACGGGAGGCAGCAGUGGGGAAUAUUGCACACUGGGCGCAAGCCUGAUGCAGCGACGCCGCGUGGGGGAUGACGGCCUUCGGGUUGUAAACUCCUUUCGUCAGGGACGAAGCGAAAGUGACGGUACCUGGAUAAGAAGCACCGGCUAACUACGUG
Molecule: ribosomal RNA, 465 nt
Filed under: uncultured bacterium
Lineage: Bacteria
Description: partial 16S ribosomal RNA
Rfam family: Bacterial small subunit ribosomal RNA
Source: RNAcentral